RNAcentral lists this ribosomal RNA (418 nucleotides) under uncultured bacterium. Its description in RNAcentral is "bacterial SSU rRNA". It matches the Rfam family "Bacterial small subunit ribosomal RNA", at positions 29 to 438 of the family's 1533-position model. The record is from RNAcentral.
AAUGAACGCUGGCGGCGCGCCUAAUACAUGCAAGUCGAGCGAGAAGACGUAGCAAUACGUUUGUAAAGCGGCGAACGGGUGAGGAAUACAUGGGUAACCUACCCUCGAGUGGGGAAUAACUAGCCGAAAGGUUAGCUAAUACCGCGUACGCUCCUUGGACUUCGGUUCAGGGAGGAAAGCGAUACCGUGGGUAUCGCGCUCUUGGUUGGGCUCAUGUCCUAUCAGCUUGUUGGUGAGGAACGGCUCACCAAGGCUUCGACGGGUAGCUGGUCUGAGAGGACGAUCAGCCACACUGGCACUGCGACACGGGCCAGACUCCUACGGGAGGCAGCAGUAAGGAAUAUUGCGCAAUGGGCGAAAGCCUGACGCAGCGACGCCGCGUGGGGGAUGAAGGUCUUCGGAUUGUAAACCCCUUUUA